This 205-nucleotide unclassified non-coding RNA is filed under the name Hevea brasiliensis (rubber tree). Lineage: Eukaryota; Viridiplantae; Streptophyta; Magnoliopsida; Malpighiales; Euphorbiaceae. The record is from RNAcentral.
AUGUUACAAAACCAACAACAUUUGAAAAUAUCAGUCGAUGGUUGAAGGAGCUAAGGGACCAUGCGGAUGCGAACAUCGUGAUCAUGCUAAUUGGCAACAAGACUGAUCUGAAACAUCUCAGAGCAGUGGCCACCGAGGAUGCUCAAAGUUACGCAGAGAGAGAAGGACUUUCAUUCAUUGAAACAUCUGCUCUUGAAGCAACAAA